UUUGGGAGGAAGCAAGUGCAUCCCGCUCUUCCGGCUGCGUUAAUGGCCGGGUGCGGGGGAGACGCAUCGCUCCGAGGGGCUUCUAUUCUCUCGCCUCCCUUUCUCCCCAGAUGCACUCUCCGCUUCCCCUCCCCUCGCCCCUUUUUGUACGAACGCUCUCUCGGCCGAUUUUUCAUGCUCCGCUAACUGCCGGCGCUUUCACGACCCGCGUGAGCUUUGCUGCCUCAUGAAGAUUUAUGAAACUGCAGUAAUAAACUGUGUUUGAAAAGAUCCUUUUGAUGAUAAAGCCCCGCCGGGCUGCUGGCGGGGGGGACCCGGGCGCACCGCGCCGCCGAGCCCGCAGCCGCUCUCGCGGGGCAGCGCCCGCAGCACCGGGAAGGUUUUUGGGGGCCUUUCCCACCCUGAAGAGCAUCACCUAAAGCACGGUCAGGCUCCGGUGCCCCCGGCGCCUCUGUUUUCCCGGGAAGCAGGCGAUGGCCGGACCCUGCUAGCAGCCCGGGGCCGUGCCCCGGCGCGGGUGACACCUUCUGCUGGCGGGUGAGGAAGAUGGAUGGAUGAAUCCGCAAAGAGAACCGCGUUCCCUUAACCUCCCGCUGCUCGGAGAGGGGCUGGCCAGGAUUUACCGCGGGAUUUUGGCUGUCGUGGGAGCCCUGCGCUCGGCCAAGGAGCCGCCUCCAGCCCCUGCAGAGCCCCGGGGGGCUGCAGCCCCCAGCCCGCCGGAGCAGUUCCCCGGCCGCCGUGGGAGCCGAGCUGCGCCCGCGGAUCCCGAAAGGACGAGCGGCCACAUGAUCUCCGCGGACGAUGCCGAGUACCCGCGGGAGUACCGGACCCUGGGCAACGGCACCCGGCGCUUCUCCAACGUAGGGCUGGUGCACACCUCGGAGCGCCGGCACACCGUGAUCGCCGCCCAGAGCCUGGAGGCCCUCACCGGCCUCCAGAAGACGGAGAUGGAGCGCAAGAGGGACGCCUUCAUGGACCACCUGAAGAGCAAGUACCCGCAGCACGCGCUGGCGCUGCGGGGGCAGCAGGAGAGGAUGCGGGACCAGCAACCCAACUACUGGAGCUUUAAGACGAGGAGCUCCCGACACUCCCAGGGCUCCCAGCCUGGCUUGGCCGACCAAGCCAAGCUCUCCUUCGCCUCGGCCGAAUCCCUGGAAACGAUGUCGGAAGCGGAGCUGCCCCUGGGGUUCAACAGGAUGAACCGGUUCCGGCAGAGCUUGCCCCUGUCCCGGUCCACCAGCCAGACCAAGCUGCGAUCUCCAGGGGUCCUUUUCCUGCAGUUCGGGGACGAGACGAGGCGCGUGCACAUCACGCACGAGAUCAGCAGCAUGGACACCCUACACGCCCUCAUCGUGCACAUGUUCCCCCAGAAGCUCACCAUGGGCAUGCUGAAGUCCCCCAACACCGCCAUCCUCAUCAAGGACGAGUCCCGGAACGUCUUCUACGAGCUGGAGGAUGUCCGCGACAUCCAGGACAGAAGCAUCAUUAAAAUCUACCGGAAAGAGCCACUCUACGCCUCGUUCCCAGCCUCCCACAUCACCAACGGUGACCUGAGGAGGGAGAUGGUGUACACGUCCAGGGAAUCGUCUCCCACCCGCCGGCUCAACAACAUGUCCCCGGCGUCCCACCUGGCCUCGGGGUCGCCCCCGCCCGUGCUGCAGUCCUCGUCCCCGUCCCGCUCCCGCAUGUCCUACAGCGGGGGCCGCCCGCCCUCCUACGCCGGCAGCCCCGUGCACCACGGCGAGCGCCUGGCCAGCCUCCCGCCCGCCCCCGGCGUGUCCCCCAGCCCCAGCGCCAUCCUGGAGCGCCGCGACGUGAAGCCCGACGAGGACCUGGCCGGGAAGAACGUGGUGCUGGUGAAGAACGAGGGGCUCUACGCCGACCCCUACGGGAUGGUGCACGAGGGCCGGCUCAGCAUCACCUCCACGCAGUCCCUGGCGGGCAUGGGGGACCCCUUUGGCUACUCGGGGGGGCUGUACAAGCGGGGCUCCGUGCGCUCCCUCAGCACCUACUCGGCGGCGGCGCUGCAGUCGGAGCUGGAGGACGGGCUGUACAAGCCCAACGCGCCCAUCUACGGCGACACGUACGGCCCCGGGCUGGGCUUCCGCGUGCCCCCCUCGUCCCCGCAGAAGAUGGUGGACGUGCAGCCGGGGCAGAGCCCCCACAGCCCCUACUCGGGGCCCCCCAGCCGCUCCUCGCCCGUCCGCCAGUCCUUCCGCAAGGAUUCCUGCUCCUCGGUGUUCAUGGACAGCCCCGUGGGCAAGACGCGCAACCCCAGCUCCUCCGGCCCCCCCGAGCUCUUCCCCGGCCCCGGUGAGCGCCCGCUCUCAGGGUUUGGCUCCCCCGGACCCGCCAAGGACACGGAGACGAGGGAGCGGAUGGAGGCCAUGGAGAAGCAGAUUGCCAGCCUGACAGGGCUGGUGCAGAGCGCUCUGCUCCGCGGCUCCGAGGCUGAGACCCCCAGCGAGAAGACAGAAGCCACCAACGGUGGGACCCCCCCGUCGGCGUCCACCAGCCGCAGCGGGGGCACCCCGGUGCCCGCGCCACCGCCGCCCUCGGCCAGCAGCACCCCGGCGGGGCAGCCCACGGCCAUCACCCGCCUGCACAUGCAGCUGCACCUCCACGACCUGCAGCAGAACGCCAGCGACCUGCGCAACCAGCUGCAGCAGCUCAGGAAGCUGCAGCUGCAGAACCAGGAGACGGUGAAGACGCUGCUGCGGCGGACGGAGACGGAGAUCAGCGUGCGGGUGACGGACACCGUGCGCAAGCACGAGGACCCUCUGCAGCGCCAGCGCAGCCUCGUGGAGGAGGAGCGGCUCCGCUACCUCAACGAGGAGGAGCUCAUCACCCAGCAGCUCAAUGACCUGGAGAAGUCUGUGGAGAAGAUCCAGAAGGAUCUGGCCCACAAUCACCGGCUGAUCCCUGUGCAGGAGCUGGAGGAGAAGGCGGUGGUGCUCAAGCAGCUGGGGGAGACGCUCACAGACCUGAAGGCCCAGUUCCCCAGCCUGCAGAGCAAGAUGCGGGUGGUGCUGCGGGUGGAGGUGGAAGCUGUGAAGUUCCUCAAGGAGGAGCCGAACCGGCUCGAUGGGCUCCUCAAACGCUGCAAGACAGUGACAGACACCCUCGCCCAGAUCCGCAGGCAAGUGGACGAGGGCGUGUGGACCUCCCCCAGCAACCUCAGCCAGUCCCCCAAGAAGGUGGCCCCCGAGACGGACUUCAGCAAAGGGCUGGAUUUGGAGAUGCCCACCAGCCCCCCCGUGAGCCUGGGCAUGCCCAGCUUCGGGCACAGCCCCCCCCAGACCCAGAGCCACCCCUCCAAGAGCAAUAACCCCGCCCGAGCCCCGGAGAUGGUGCCCGCCAAGACACAGACGGGGCCGGAGACCCCCAGCAAGAAGAGCGCGGACAAAGCUGUGUCCGUGGAGGCGGCCGAGCGGGACUGGGAGGAGAAACGGGCAGCGCUGACCCAGUACAGUGCCAAGGACAUCAACCGGCUCCUGGAGGAGACGCAGGCCGAGCUCAUGAAGGCCAUCCCCGACCUGGAAUUCGCUGCCAAGCACAAACAAGCCCCGGGCAGCGGCAGCGCCGCCUCCACCCCCGAGCACAAACCCUCCAAGCCGCAGCACGCGCCGAAAUCGGGGGGCAAAGGGGACCCCAACGGCCGCCGGGGCUCAGACGAGCUGACGGUGCCGCGGUACCGGACCGAGAAACCCUCCAAAUCCCCCCCACCUCCCCCUCCACGCCGGAGCUUCCCCUCGUCCCACGGGCUGACCACCACCCGCAGCGGGGAGGUCAUCGUCACCAGCAAGAAGGAGCCCGGGUUUAUGAAGAAGGCCGAGUCGGAGGAGCUGGAGACGCAGAAGCCGCAGGUGAAGCUGAGGAGGACGGUGUCCGAGGUGGUCAGGCCGGCCUCCACCCCCCCCAUCAUCGCCUCGGCCAUCAAGGACGACGACGACGAGGAUCGGAUCAUCGCCGAGCUGGAGGUGUUUCAGAGAAGCUCUGCCUCCCCUUUCCUCCCCAAGCUCCAUCACGAGCCACUCGUGGCCGUCUGCCCUGGGCUGGCAGAGCUGUGGCCCAACGGAGCCUCCGUUGCAGCCCAAGGAUGGAAGAGCGGCGGCGUGUCCAUCCCGGCCAUGAAGGUGGUGAAUCCGGCGUCGCGGCUGAAGCAGAGCCAGCAGGGCAGCCCCGACAAGAGCAAGCACAUAAAGCAGCGGAUGGAGUACAUGCGCAUCCAGGGCCAGCAGCAGAGCUCUCGGAGCUUCACUCCACCGGUCCCACCAGCUUCGAGCCAAGAGGAGCUCCGACCUUCACCCCCCGGCCCCGCGCGCCAGGGGGGGAAACGGCGCCUGCCGAAGACGCCCCCGGCACCCCCCGAGCCGAGCGGGAGCCCCCCGAGCGUCCCGGGAGCCCCCCGGCAGGAGGAGAGGACCCCCGGCGCCCCGGCCGGGCCUCGGCGGUGGGUGGUCGGUGACGCCGCGGCCGCGCCACGUCCUUCGCCGGCCGAGGGCUCGGUGACCUCCCGGGGGGGUGUCACCGCUGCCACCACCCCCCGGGGGCCGGGGGGGAGGCAGGAGGGGCCGGGGGGUGCCCGGCCGUGCCGGAGGGGCCGGAGGGUGAGGGUGUGAAACGGGGAGGGGGCGACCGCGGCUGCCCGAGCCCCCCCGCCCCAGGGCGGAACGAAGCACUUUAAGCGGGCACCGGGGUGGGGGGACAGGGGGACGGGGGGGGUCCCACCGCACGGGGACACCCUGCCCGACCUCUGCCACCUUCCCCAGGGGAUAAGGAGGUGGGACAAGUCCCCGGAGCCCCCUGCUCCGGGUGGGGAGCCCACCCUGGGGGAGCAGCCCCGGCCCCGCCCGGCCUGGGGGACCUGAGGGGUCCCCGGGGUGCGUGGCCAGGUGAUGCCUGUCCGUGGCCACACCCACCACAGCUGAGCCAGGUGUGCCCAGGAGUGCCCAGCUGUGCUCCAGGUGUGCCCAGGUGUGCCCAGCUGUGCUCCAGGAGUGCCCAGGUGCGCCCAGGUGUGCCCAGGUGUAUGCCAGGUGUGCACCAGGUGUGCCCAGCUGUGCUCCAGGUGUGCCCAGUUGUGGACCAGUUGUGCCCAGGUGUGCACCAGGUGUGUUCAGCUGUGCCCAGCUGUGCCCCAGCUGUGCCCAGGUGUGCCCAGGUGUGCCCAGGUGUGCCCCAGGUGUGCCCAGCUGUGCCCAGGUGUG
Chiroxiphia lanceolata (lance-tailed manakin) is the source of this 5210-nucleotide RNA transcript. It is a transcript of the gene named SRC kinase signaling inhibitor 1, with no coding region annotated. The transcript is spliced from 21 exons. Lineage: Eukaryota; Metazoa; Chordata; Aves; Passeriformes; Pipridae. The record is from RefSeq and is a predicted model, not a curated record.